AUGUCAGGUGUGACACCAGGUUUGAAGCCACAAGGGACGGUGGUCCGGCCGGCACCAUGGCCCUCUUUCCUUGACAAGGACAGCAGUACAGCUCGUGGCGGCAUCAUCGAGCCACCAUCGAGCGCCGCCACGGUGUUAAUCAGGGAGGUGGCUCCCUGUGUGAGUUGGCAAGGAAUGAUGAGAGAGGAUAUUUACAGUGCAAAGGUGUGCUGGGGGAAGCUCUCUUUCUGGCCUCGGCUGCACUCACACAAAACAACCCCUCAAUCUCUUAGGCAAGCAGGAGACAUCAACCGCAGCAACUCAAGCCUUGGGAACAUCGACUGGUAUUGGUGGCUUAUUUUCAAUGAGUCCUUGGAAGUAAUGUAUGCUCUAGCAGAAUCAGAGGUGCGGUACUUAAGGCGUAAUCCCUCCAACUCUCCUUGGUGUUUGGUGGACGUGUUCUGGAGGUUCCAAAACUACUGGUCUGAUCCUCAAAAUGUACGGUUAGCUGAUGUGAGUUUUGAAGCUCUAUUUUCUGCUGGACAACACAACACUGGACUCUCUUUGCAAGUCUUGGGUGUUGGUUCAAUUCUGAACAUAUUGUUCAGUGAAGCUGCACCUAGUUCACUAAUGACAGAGUGCCAUGUGGAUGGAUGUCUAUGGAGAGCACAAUAUGCACCUUGUUGUAUCUCGGGGAAAUCCAUCGAAGAGAAGCAUUUGCAUAUUUAUGCAGCAGCUAAUCAGGCCCUAAUAUUAUGCAGAGCAGAAGUGGAACUCUUUAGCGAAGCCUAUCGCCCUUCAACUAUUUUUGCCCACAACACAGUGUGGGAAAAGCCAACUUGCAGUAAUAUCAUUGCAUCUUCUGUGCUUACUUGGCGGUUCAGUGCUACAGAUGUUCUUCGCUAUAAGUCGAUGCAGUCUUCAUGUAAGGUAGACAGUGCCAUUGUUCAUAAUUCCUCAUGGAAAACCAGUGGUCGCUGUGAAGGCAUGCCUUUAUAUUGGUGGUCUCUUCAAAAUGAAUUUUCCACACUAUUUCCUGCAACUAAAGCGAGCGUGCUGCACCACAUUGAUUGGUGGUCUGAUUUUAAAUUUGUACAUCAAGCUCAUGCUAUUGGUCAUGCUACUUUGCAUUUGGGAUCUGCAAAACAGAUGGAUACUAGGAUCCCUGAAGCUCUUAGAACACUCUAUGUUAUUAUGCAACCUGAAGAUCUCAGGACACUCUAUGUUCCAGUUACUAUGCAGCCUGAAGCUCUCAGGACACUCUAUGUUAUUUAG
Molecule: ribosomal RNA, 1254 nt
Filed under: Triticum aestivum (bread wheat)
Lineage: Eukaryota; Viridiplantae; Streptophyta; Magnoliopsida; Poales; Poaceae
Description: partial small subunit ribosomal RNA
Source: RNAcentral